Molecule: long non-coding RNA, 2345 nt
Filed under: Coturnix japonica (Japanese quail)
Lineage: Eukaryota; Metazoa; Chordata; Aves; Galliformes; Phasianidae
Description: lncRNA (ENSCJPG00005000236.1)
Source: RNAcentral
CACAAAUGGGCGGCCAUUGGAUGUGGGACACGCCAAGAACUGGCAGCCAUUGGAGAUUUGGACAACCCAAGAUGGCGGCUAUUGGUGACACAAGAUGGCGGCCAUUGGGUUUGGACACCCAAGAUGGCGGCCAUUGGUGACACAAGAUGGCGGCCAUUGGCUUUGGACACCCAAGAUGGCGGCCAUUGGAUUUGGACACCCAAGAUGGCGGCUAUUGGUGACACAAGAUGGCGGCCAUUGAACAUGGACACUCAAGAUGGCGGCAUUGAAAAUUGGAAUAUUAGCUUUGGGGACAACAAGAUGGCGGCCAUUGGUGACACAAGAUGGCGGCCAUUGGCUUUGGACACCCAAGAUGGCGGCCAUUGCCAUUGGAUAUUGGCUUUGGUGACACAAGAUGGCGGCCAUUGGCUUUGGACACCCAAGAUGGCGGCAGUGUGCUUUGGACAUAGACCCAAAGAUGGCGGCCAUUGUGGACAACAAAGAUGGCGGCAAUUGGCUAGGACACCCAAGAUGGUGGCCAUUGCCAUUGGACAUUGGCUUUGAUGACACAAGAUGGCGGCCAUUUGGCUUUUGGACAUCCCAGAUGACAGCGCCAUGCCAGUUGGAUCAAUUGGCUUUGAUGACAGCAGAAGAUGGCGGGCCAUUGGGAUUGCACCCAAGAUGGCGGCCAUUGGCUUUGGACACCCAAGAUGGCGGCCAUUGGUGACACAAGAUGGCAGCCAUUGGCUUUGGACACUGAAGAUGGCGGCCAAUGGACCCAUCAGAAAGCCAAUAUGGUCAUAAAUUGGACCCAAUCGAGAAACCAAUUGGACCCAUCAGAACCCUUGGGACCCAUCAGAACCCAUUGGGACCCAUCAAACCAAAUUGGACCAUCAGAACCAUUGGACCCAUCAGAACCGAAUUGGGACCAUCAGAACGCCAUUGGACCAUCAGAACCAAUUGGACCCAUAUCAAAGCAACCAAUUGCGGUCAGCAAUGGACCCAGUCAGCCCCAUUGGACCCAUCAGAACCAAUUGGGAGACCCUCAGAACCAAUUGGGACCCAUCAGAACCAAUAUUGGGUCAGCAUUGGACCCAUCAGAACCAAUUGGACCCAUCAGAACCCAUUGGGUCAGCAUUGGACCCAUCCAGAACCCAUUGGACCCAUCAGAACCCAUGUGCGGAACCCAGUCAGAAACGCAAUUGGACCCAUCAGAAACCCAAAUAUUGGGUCAGCAUUGGACCCAUCAGAAGCCCAUUGGAGCUGCCAUCAGAACACAUUGGACCCAUCCAGAAACCGAAUCAAUUGGUCAGCAUUGAGACCAUCAGGAACCCAUUGGACCCAUCAGAACCCAUUGGACCCCAUCAUGAAACCCCAUUGGGGACCCCAGCAGAACCGAAUGGACCCAUCAAACCCAUUGGGACGCCAUCAGCAACGCCAAUUGACCUCACAACCCAUGGCGACUCCACAUCAGAACCAAUUGGACCCAUCAGAACCCAUGGACCCAUCAGAACCCCAUUGGGACCCAUCAGAUACUCCCAUUGGGACCCAUCAGAACCAAUUGGACCCAUCAGAACCCAUUGGACCCAUCAGAACCCAUUGGACCCAUCAGAACCAAUUGGACCCAUCAGAACCAAUAUUGGGUCAGCAUUGGACCCAUCAGAACCAAUUGGACCCAUCAGAACCAAUUGGACCCAUCAGAACCCAUUGGGACCCAUCAGAACCCAUUGGGACCCAUCAGAACCAAUUGGGACCCAUCAGAACCAAUUGGACCCAUCAGAACCCAUUGGACCCAUCAGAACCAUUGUGACCCCAUGCAGAACCAAUGUGGACCCCAUCAGAACCGCAUUGCGGAACCCAUCAAACCAAUUGGCCAUCAAGAACCCAUUGGACCCAUCAGAACAAAUAUUGGUCAGCAUUGGACCCAUCAGAACAAUAUGGGAACCCAUCAGAACCCAUUGGACCAUCAGGAACCAAUUGCGGACCAUCAGAACCCACUUGGACCCAUCAGAACCCAUUGGACCCAUCAGAACCCAUUGGGACCCAUCAGAAACCAAUAUGGGUCAGUAUAUGGGACCAUCAAACCAAUUGGACCCAUGCAGAACCAAAUUGAAACCCAUCAGAUACCCAUUGGGACCACAUCAGCAACCCAUUGGACCCGUAUUAGGGGGGGUCCCUAUAGUUUGUAGUGUUGGGCUGGGAUAUAGGGUUGUUUUAUGGGGGCGGCGGGCGGCAUAUUUUGGGGUAGAAAUGAGAAGUUGGGGUUUGUGGGGGGGGGAGGAGAUUUUGGGGGUGUUUUGUAAUAAAGAAGUGAAAGAAAUUGAGGGGUUCUUUUUUGGGGGGGGGUCUGGGACCCUAUAAAGUGG